ACGGGAGGCAGCAGUGGGGAAUAUUGCACAAUGGGGGAAACCCUGAUGCAGCGACGCCGCGUGAGCGAUGAAGUAUUUCGGUAUGUAAAGCUCUAUCAGCAGGGAAGAAAAUGACGGUACCUGACUAAGAAGCUCCGGCUAAAUACGUGCCAGCAGCCGCGGUAAUACGUAUGGAGCAAGCGUUAUCCGGAUUUACUGGGUGUAAAGGGAGCGCAGGCGGUUUUGCAAGUCUGAAGUGAAAGCCCGUGGCUCAACCGCGGGACUGCUUUGGAAACUGCUAAGCUAGAGUGCAGGAGAGGUAAGUGGAAUUCCUAGUGUAGCGGUGAAAUGCGUAGAUAUUAGGAGGAACACCAGUGGCGAAGGCGGCUUACUGGACUGUAACUGACGUUGAGGCUCGAAAGCGUGGGGAGCAAACAGGAUUAGAUACCCUGGUA
Molecule: ribosomal RNA, 434 nt
Filed under: uncultured Clostridium sp.
Lineage: Bacteria; Bacillati; Bacillota; Clostridia; Eubacteriales; Clostridiaceae
Description: partial 16S ribosomal RNA
Rfam family: Bacterial small subunit ribosomal RNA
Source: RNAcentral